Molecule: ribosomal RNA, 465 nt
Filed under: uncultured bacterium
Lineage: Bacteria
Description: partial 16S ribosomal RNA
Rfam family: Bacterial small subunit ribosomal RNA
Source: RNAcentral
GACGAACGCUGGCGGCGUGCUUAACACAUGCAAGUCGAACGGAAAGGCCCCUUUGGGGGUACUCGAGUGGCGCACGGGGGCGUAACACGUGAGUAACCUUCCCUUGACUUCGUGAUAACUUCAGGAAACUGGGGCUAAUUCCGGAUAGGAAUCCUUGCUGCAUGGUGGGGGUUGGAAAGCUUCGGCGGUUUUGGAUGGACUCGCGGCUUAUUAGCUUGUUGGUGGGGUAGUGGCUUACCAAGGCUUGGACGGGUAGCGGGCCUGAGGGGGUGACCGGCCACAUAGAGACCGAGGGAAGGCACAGGUGCCGAAGGGAGGAAGAAGGGGGGAAGACUGAACAAGCGGCGGAGGGCGGGUGAAGAAGGGCCGCGGGCUGGAUGACGGCUUUCGGGGGGUAGAACGGUAGCAGGAGGAGAGAAGGCUGUGGUGACGGUACCUGCAGAAGAAGCACCGGCUAACUACGUG